UACGCAGGUGGCAAGCGUUGUUCGGAUUUACUGGGCGUACAGGGAGCGUAGGCGGUUGGAUAAGCCCUCCGUGAAAUCUCCAGGCUUAACCUGGAAAGUGCAGAGGGGACUGUUCAGCUAGAGGAUGGGAGAGGAGCGCGGAAUUCCCGGUGUAGCGGUGAAAUGCGUAGAGAUCGGGAGGAAGGCCGGUGGCGAAGGCGGCGCUCUGGAACAUUUCUGACGCUGAGGCUCGAAAGCGUGGGGAGCAAACAGG
Molecule: ribosomal RNA, 253 nt
Filed under: uncultured bacterium
Lineage: Bacteria
Description: partial 16S ribosomal RNA
Rfam family: Bacterial small subunit ribosomal RNA
Source: RNAcentral